AGAUGGCGACCGGCGCACGGGUGAGUAACACGUAUCCAACCUGCCGAUAACUCGGGGAUAGCCUUUCGAAAGAAAGAUUAAUACCCGAUGGUAUAAUCAGACCGCAUGGUUUGAUUAUUAAAGAAUUUCGGUUAUCGAUGGGGACGCGUUCCAUUAGGCAGUUGGUGAGGUAACGGCUCACCAAACCUUCGAUGGAUAGGGGUUCUGAGAGGAAGGUCCCCCACAUUGGAACUGAGACACGGUCCAA
RNAcentral lists this ribosomal RNA (247 nucleotides) under uncultured bacterium. RNAcentral's name for it is "partial 16S ribosomal RNA". It matches the Rfam family "Bacterial small subunit ribosomal RNA", at positions 86 to 334 of the family's 1533-position model. The record is from RNAcentral.